UUGAGCUUGGUCCCCCGACUAGGUAUCGCCCGAUCCCCCGGUCUUCUUUCCAUUCGGUCCUUGGUCCGGUUCUUUGAUUAACACUUUUGUCGGUAUCGCAGGGACACCUCCAAGAAUGCGGCCGUCCGAUGCCGAGAUUCGGCAAUUCGCAUCAAGGAAGAGGCCGGCAUCGGGGGCAGGACCUUCGCGUCCUCCGAAGAAGCCUGCUCCCAUGGCGCCGACCGUCGAAGCAUCGGUGACCGACCAAUCGGAGCCCGUCAUAGCGCUCGCGGCUCCGGCAGUGCCUGCGGAGGAGAGGCCGGUGGAAGGAGCGGCCGAAGGAACAUCGGCGG
Molecule: long non-coding RNA, 332 nt
Filed under: Elaeis guineensis (African oil palm)
Lineage: Eukaryota; Viridiplantae; Streptophyta; Magnoliopsida; Arecales; Arecaceae
Description: long non-coding RNA (EGUI_LNC076835)
Source: RNAcentral